GCCGAGGAUAGUGUGCCCCUGGUGGCUUGUAGCUAUUUACAACUCAUCGCAGUACGUCAAAAACAGAUGGAUUUAUGUAAUCAAUUCAAUCAAUGUGACUGAUUAAUCAUUUCUCUAAUUUGAUUCUAUCAAUAUUUAUGUUCUGGAGCCACUCAGUGAAUCGUGCGACAAUUUGCUUGAUUUUAAUGAUGAAAUUCCUAAAUCCGAUAUUAUUUUUAUUUUUAAUCAGUAUGAGUCAAUCAGUAAUCAGUGGAAAACUUGAGGAUGUAAUGGAGAAACUCAAUAUUACUGAGCCAGUUUUCCCGAUUCCCAAUUGCCCUAAAUUCUGUGACGACUAUUGCGAUUAUUUGGCGGACCUUGAGGGUAAAUGCAGUGGUAAUACGUGUGAAUGCAGCUAAGUGAAAUCCCUGUAGCAUUAAAUUGUCAUCCUAUCAAUAUUUAUGGAUGUGAAAGUCAAUGGUGAGAAUAAAUAAAUCACGUAAUUCGAUAGUAUUACAUCAA
Molecule: long non-coding RNA, 501 nt
Organism: Diachasma alloeum
Lineage: Eukaryota; Metazoa; Arthropoda; Insecta; Hymenoptera; Braconidae
Exons: 2
Source: RefSeq, a predicted model, not a curated record